This 710-nucleotide long non-coding RNA is filed under the name Homo sapiens (human). RNAcentral's name for it is "non-protein coding lnc-SEPT7-1:14". Lineage: Eukaryota; Metazoa; Chordata; Mammalia; Primates; Hominidae. The record is from RNAcentral.
GGAACACUGAGAACCUGAAUGGGAAAUUAAGAAGAACCAGAUUCUUUCUAUUCUUCCACCAGCCAAGUUUUGAAGAUUUGUUUUGAAUCUUGAAGAGAGAGCAGCAAGCCUUUUGGCCUAUGGAUUCUAAGAGUCACAUUCCAACAGGUGAUAUCAAAAGGACAAGGAAGCAGGGAGGGGUGACUUGCACGGAAGGUGCCCAGUGAGAUGUCUCUGCCAUGGAGAUUGUGCUGAUGCCACAAGCAAAGCGUUUGUACCCCUCUCAUCCACAAGAGAAGUCCCUCCGGGUAUUUCAGAUGAUACCUGAAAGGAUGAUAAGGCAGGGAAUCAGAGGCUGACACCGCUAUUGGAUGGACUGGGGGAGUGAAGACCAAAAGGUCAUUUUCAGGAAAAAAAUAAAUUAGGAAGUACAGGGAUAAGACAGAAGCCACCACCAAUAACUCCACACCUACAGCUCCAAAGCAUGUGAUUCAGAAGGAUCCUUGUUGAUAUUGGCCAUCACCUUGUGUCACAAUACCAGUGGCCGCAGAGAUUUAAAUAAAUGCAUCCCAGAUACAGAGUUAAAAGCAUGCCAACAAUGAGGGCUGUGUGGUUUGGAGAAGAGCAGAAGAGCACACUGCUUUCAGUCAGGCAGAGGCAGAUUAGAUUGCCUGCCACCUCCAGUGGGAUGGUGGCUCCGGACAGUCACUCACCUUCUCUAAAACCCACCU